RNAcentral lists this transfer RNA (65 nucleotides) under Xystodesmus sp. YD-2016. RNAcentral's name for it is "tRNA-Ile". Lineage: Eukaryota; Metazoa; Arthropoda; Diplopoda; Polydesmida; Xystodesmidae. The record is from RNAcentral.
AGUUUAAUGUCUGAUUUAAAAGAAUUAUUAUGAUGUAGUAACAUAUGCUCUUAGAGCUUAAACUU